AAAUAAGAGAUGGCAUUGAUCCUCAAUUAUUAUCUCAUCUUAUUUAGAACUUCUUCAUUAAAGAAAUGUCAUUAAUACUCGAAAAAAUUAUUUCUUAUCCUAUCUAUAGUUAAGAUCGAAUUUACAGAAUUUGAAACAUAAAAGUUGUGACCAUCGAUAUUGAUCUCUGGGUCACGAAGAUUCAUUCAAACAUAAAGAUUAAUGAUCAAGAAAAAUAAAUGACUUCAAGUCUAAGCAUAAAUUCUCCAUAAAAAUAUACAACAGUAGAAAAAAUGCGUUAUUCUAAAAAUCACAUAACUUCAAAAAAAAUUUGAGCAUUAUUUUAAAUUACGCUACAUUCUCAGUUUACGCUAUUUUGAAUAUCAUGAUUCAAUAACAGUGAUUAAAGAUUUAAUUUUGAAAAAAGAUUACAAUAAAAAAAAUAAAAUCAAAUAUGAUAUCACUAAAAUCAAAAAAUUCCUUAAAAAUCAGCACAAAUUAUUAUCAAGAUUUAACAAGAAAUCUUCUUCAACAACAAAUUAAAUGUCAAUUUACUUUUCGAUUCAUCUAUUUUUCGGCAUUAUAAUCGUAUGUUAAUAAUAAUAUAUAAUCAUAAUAAUAAUAAAAAUAAUAAAAUAAUAAAAA
Apis cerana (Asiatic honeybee) is the source of this 624-nucleotide long non-coding RNA. RefSeq lists it as uncharacterized. The record is from RefSeq and is a predicted model, not a curated record. NCBI's taxonomy places the organism in Eukaryota, Metazoa, Arthropoda, Insecta, Hymenoptera, Apidae.